Molecule: long non-coding RNA, 374 nt
Organism: Hibiscus syriacus
Lineage: Eukaryota; Viridiplantae; Streptophyta; Magnoliopsida; Malvales; Malvaceae
Exons: 3
Source: RefSeq, a predicted model, not a curated record
AAUAGCACAAUUUAAGAGGAAUACACAGGUUUUUCUAAUUUCUCGUGUUUUUCAUCUGCAAUUCAAGCUGCUUCUGGUUUUUCGACAUGUUCUUCCUGCCAUACUAAACGGAAGUGACGACUACUCUUUGCCGCUAUUUACGUUGUUACUGCUUCGGACUGUCGGAAUUUGCUGCCAAUCUAUGUAAUGGUUAAAGUAAUGACCGCCAUCCAUCGUCAUCUCCGCAGGCGGCAAAAGACUCCAAAUUCAUUGGUUAAUCAAUCAGAUGAGGAAAAUGAGAUUUCAAUCGUGCAAGCUCAGCCUCACAUAGUUAGCAUACAUCGAUCGCCAACAUAAAUAAACCGAACACGCUGAUAAUACAAUAUGUCUCACAG